Spinacia oleracea (spinach) is the source of this 541-nucleotide long non-coding RNA. RefSeq lists it as uncharacterized. The transcript is spliced from 3 exons. Lineage: Eukaryota; Viridiplantae; Streptophyta; Magnoliopsida; Caryophyllales; Amaranthaceae. The record is from RefSeq and is a predicted model, not a curated record.
GGGUUAUCUCGUCCCUUUUCGGCGCCGAGAGUACACGUGCAACCCACGUGAUGUUUGCUAAAUAGCUACAUGCCUACCUACUGCCCCAACUUCACUUUGUUUGGAAAAGAAGAACCUCCCACCGCCUCUCAUCUCCUUCUCAAAUAUCUCAGAUCUACUCUCCUCUGAUUGGAAUUAAUAUCUUGUUCGUCAUAUCAAUGGGUUUAACAUCUUCUACCUUCAAGGUCUUGUGAAAGACCGUCCAAUGUGAUACGGAGCAACAUGAGAAUGAAGGCCAUGACACUUGAGCUUAUAAGCUACUACCACUAUUAGAUCCUAGUUCUUCUAGGCUUUAGUUCUUCGGUUAAGUAGAUACAAUUGUAUUUUUUUAUUAUGUUUUGGACUAUUUAGUUAUUAACAUUUAUGUAUUAUGGAAUUUGGUUAGAAACAUUAUCAUGUACUAUGGAUAUAUUAUGGUUAAUUAGUAGCAUUACCAUGUACUAUGGAUUUAAAGUACUACGUACUCCUAGAAUUUUAUAAUUUAUUGUUAAUGUUACAUUGA